This is a long non-coding RNA of Pseudophryne corroboree (corroboree frog), 372 nucleotides long. RefSeq lists it as uncharacterized. NCBI's taxonomy places the organism in Eukaryota, Metazoa, Chordata, Amphibia, Anura, Myobatrachidae. The transcript is spliced from 2 exons. The record is from RefSeq and is a predicted model, not a curated record.
UGCUGGUGAACUAGGGUCUGCAGAGCGCCCAGAUAGCACAGUGCAUCCAGCGGAAUGGAAUAGUUGUGUGGCUUCUCUCGCUAUUAUAUUACCCCCUCCAAUUGUUAAUAAAAGCGCCAAGAAUUUUAGUUUUUCCUUCAGUUGCAUUCAAAAUGAACAAACUUUUUGAGACGUCAGUGGCUGCCACAAUUAUGGGAUCUUCAUGGACAUCCUUAACUGAGGGGAUGACUGUACAGACACAAGGACCAGGAUUGUGUGUUCCUGUAAAACAAAUGAAUGUGUUACUUAGCACAUUCCUGCCUUUUACGUCUUGUAUAAUGACUUAUGGUCAUUUAAAUAAAUCCUAUGCAUCCCAUUCCAUCAGACAUUAAA